RNAcentral lists this ribosomal RNA (438 nucleotides) under uncultured bacterium. RNAcentral's name for it is "partial 16S ribosomal RNA". It matches the Rfam family "Bacterial small subunit ribosomal RNA", at positions 338 to 792 of the family's 1533-position model. The record is from RNAcentral.
CCUACGGGAGGCAGCAGUGGGGGAUAUUGCACAAUGGGGGGAAGCCUGAUGCAGCGACGCCGCGUGGGUGAAGGAGUAUUUCGGUAUGUAAAGCCCUAUCGGCAGGGAAGAAUUUAGACGGUACCUGACUAAGAAGCCCCGGCUAACUACGUGCCAGCAGCCGCGGUAAUACGUAGGGGGCAAGCGUUAUCCGGAUUCACUGGGUGUAAAGGGAGCGUAGACGGCCAGGCAAGCCUGGAGUGAAAGCCCGGGGCCCAACCCCGGGACUGCUCUGGGAACUGUCCGGCUGGAGUGCGGGAGGGGCAGGCGGAAUUCCUGGUGUAGCGGUGAAAGGCGUAGAUAUCAGGAGGAACACCGGCGGCGAAGGCGGCCUGCUGGACCGCGACUGACGUUGAGGCUCGAAAGCGUGGGGAGCGAACAGGAUUAGAUACCCCUGUC